UACGGAGGGUGCAAGCGUUGUCCGGAUUCAUUGGGUUUAAAGGGUGCGUAGGCGGUCUUGUAAGUCAGUGGUGAAAUCUCAGAGCUCAACUCUGAAUGUGCCAAUGAUACUGCAGGACUUGAGAGCAGUCGAGGUAGCUGGAAUGUGUAGUGUAGCGGUGAAAUGCAUAGAGAUUACACAGAACACCAAUUGCGAAGGCAAGUUACUAGGCUGUUUCAGACGCUGAUGCACGAAAGUGUGGGUAGCGAACAGG
This 253-nucleotide ribosomal RNA is filed under the name uncultured bacterium. RNAcentral's name for it is "partial 16S ribosomal RNA". It matches the Rfam family "Bacterial small subunit ribosomal RNA", at positions 524 to 776 of the family's 1533-position model. The record is from RNAcentral.